GACGAACGCUGGCGGCGUGCUUAACACAUGCAAGUCUAACGAAGUGGCGAACGGGUGAGUAAGGCGUAAUCAACCUGCCCUUCGGAGGGGGACAACAGUUGGAAACGACUGCUAAUACCGCAUCCCUAAGGUGGGGUUUGCGUCUGUUUAGCUAGUUGGAGGGGUAACGGCCCACCAAGGCGAUGAUCAGUAGCCGGUCCGAGAGGAAGAACGGCCACAUUGGGGCUGGGGCAAGGCCCAGACUCCUGCGGGAGGGAGCAAUGGGGGAUCAUGCGCAAUGGGCGGUAGUCUGGCGGGGCGCCGCCGCGUGGGUGAAGACCGGCUUCGGGUUAUAAGGCUCUGUUCAUCGGGACGCGGUACCGGAAGAGGAAGCCACGGCUAACUACGUGCCAGCAGCCGCGGUAAUAC
This 408-nucleotide ribosomal RNA is filed under the name uncultured bacterium. Its description in RNAcentral is "partial 16S ribosomal RNA". It matches the Rfam family "Bacterial small subunit ribosomal RNA", at positions 28 to 526 of the family's 1533-position model. The record is from RNAcentral.